GAUGAACGCUGGCGGCGUGCCUAAUACAUGCAAGUCGAGCGAACAGACGAGGAGCUUGCUCCUCUGACGUUAGCGGCGGACGGGUGAGUAACACGUGGAUAACCUACCUAUAAGACUGGGAUAACUUCGGGAAACCGGAGCUAAUACCGGAUAAUAUAUUGAACCGCAUGGUUCAAUAGUGAAAGACGGUUUUGCUGUCCCUUAUAGAUGGAUCCGCGCCGCAUUAGCUAGUUGGUAAGGUAACGGCUUACCAAGGCAACGAUGCGUAGCCGACCUGAGAGGGUGAUCGGCCACACUGGAACUGAGACACGGUCCAGACUCCUACGGGAGGCAGCAGUAGGGAAUCUUCCGCAAUGGGCGAAAGCCUGACGGAGCAACGCCGCGUGAGUGAUGAAGGUCUUCGGAUCGUAAAACUCUGUUAGUAGGGAAGAACAAAUGUGUAAGUAACUAUGCACGUCUUGACGGUACCUAAUCAGAAAGCCACGGCUAACUACGUG
RNAcentral lists this ribosomal RNA (497 nucleotides) under uncultured bacterium. Its description in RNAcentral is "partial 16S ribosomal RNA". It matches the Rfam family "Bacterial small subunit ribosomal RNA", at positions 28 to 507 of the family's 1533-position model. The record is from RNAcentral.